RNAcentral lists this ribosomal RNA (492 nucleotides) under uncultured bacterium. Its description in RNAcentral is "partial 16S ribosomal RNA". It matches the Rfam family "Bacterial small subunit ribosomal RNA", at positions 29 to 507 of the family's 1533-position model. The record is from RNAcentral.
AAUGAACGCUGGCGGCAUGCCUAACACAUGCAAGUCGAACGGAAGCACGGUAAGCGCUUGCUCUUACCGUUGGCGACUGGCGGGUGAUUCACGCGUAUAUCCCCUACUUAUUUUUCGGGGAGGACUACGGAACAGCUAAUACGAUACCAGAGCAUAUGUUGAACGGGGGGGAGCAAGAGAUCUUAGCACCUUGCGUGGGUCGAUUAGCGGCUGCCGUAUUAGCUAGUUGGGUGGGUAAAGGCCCACCAAGGCGACGCUACGCAGCUGGUCUGAGAGGGUGAUCGGCCACACUGGAACUGAGACACGGUCCAGACUCCUACGGGAGGCAGCAGUGGGGAAUAUUGGACAAUGGGCGCAAGCCUGAUCCAGCAAUGCCGCGUGUGUGAAGAAGGCCUUCGGGUUGUAAAGCCCUUUUGUUGGGAAAGAAAAGCUGCAGGUUAAUACCUGGCGGUUCUGACGGUACCGAAAGAAUAAGCACCGGCUAACUACGUG